Molecule: ribosomal RNA, 1455 nt
Filed under: Acinetobacter sp. GIST-OutAn1
Lineage: Bacteria; Pseudomonadati; Pseudomonadota; Gammaproteobacteria; Moraxellales; Moraxellaceae
Description: bacterial SSU rRNA
Rfam family: Bacterial small subunit ribosomal RNA
Source: RNAcentral
UUUUAUUAUGGUCUCAGAUUGAACGCUGGCGGCAGGCUUAACACAUCCAAGUCGAGCGGGGAAAGGUAGUUUUCUACCUGUCCUAGCGGCGGACGGGUGAGUAAUGCUUAGGAAUCUGCCUAUUAGUGGGGGACAACAUUCUGAAAGGAAUGCUAAUACCGCAUACGCCCUACGGGGGAAAGCAGGGGAUCUUCGGGCCUUGCGCUAAUAGAUGAGCCUAAGUCAGAUUAGCUAGUUGGUGGGGUAAAGGCCUACCAAGGCGACGAUCUGUAGCGGGUCUGAGAGGAUGAUCCCCCACACUGGGACUGAGACACGGCCCAGACUCCUACGGGAGGCAGCAGUGGGGAAUAUUGGACAAUGGGCGAAAGCCUGAUCCAGCCAUGCCGCGUGUGUGAAGAAGGCCUUUUGGUUGUAAAGCACUUUAACCGAGGAGGAGGCUACUGGGAUUAAUACUCUAGGAUAGUGGACGUUACUCGCAGAAUAAGCACCGGCUAACUCUGUGCCAGCAGCCGCGGUAAUACAGAGGGUGCGAGCGUUAAUCGGAUUUACUGGGCGUAAAGCGUGCGUAGGCGGUUUUUUAAGUCGGAUGUGAAAUCCCUGACCUUAACUUAGGAAUUGCAUUCGAUACUGGGAAGCUAGAGUAUGGGAGAGGAUGGUAGAAUUCCAGGUGUAGCGGUGAAAUGCGUAGAGAUCUGGAGGAAUACCGAUGGCGAAGGCAUCCAUCUGGCCUAAUACUGACGCUGAGGUACGAAAGCAUGGGGAGCAAACAGGAUUAGAUACCCCGGUAGUCCAUCCCGUAAACGAUGUAUACUAGCCGUUGGGGCCUUUGAGGUUUUAGUGGCGCAGCUAACGCGAUAAGUAGACCGCCUGGGGAGUACGGUCGCAAGACUAAAACUCAAAUGAAUUGGCGGGGGCCCGCACAAGCGGUGGAGCAUGUGGUUUAAUUAGAUGCAACGGGAAGAACCUUACCUGGUCUUGGCCUAGUAAGAACUUUCCCGAGAAGGAUUGGGGCCUUCGGGAACUUCCAUCCAGCUGGUGCAUGGCGGUCGUCAGCUCGUGUCGUGAGAAGAUGGGUUAAGUCCCCCAACGAGGGCAACCCUUUUCCUCAUUUGCCAGCGGGUUAAGCCGGGCACUUUAAGGAUACUGCCAGUGACAAACCGGAGGAAGGCGGGGACGACGUCAAGUCAUCAUGGCCCUUACGGCCAGGGCUACACACGUGCUACAAUGGUCGGUACAAAGGGUUGCCACCUAGCGAUAGGAUGCUAAUCUCAAAAAGCCGAUCGUAGUCCGGAUUGGAGUCUGCAACUCGACUCCAUGAAGUCGGAAUCGCUAGUAAUCGCGGAUCAGAAUGCCGCGGUGAAUACGUUCCCGGGCCUUGUACACACCGCCCGUCACACCAUGGGAAUUUGUUUCACCAGAAGUAGGAGUCUACCGCAGGAGACCUCCCGGCUUGGG